Molecule: ribosomal RNA, 916 nt
Filed under: uncultured archaeon
Lineage: Archaea
Description: bacterial SSU rRNA
Rfam family: Archaeal small subunit ribosomal RNA
Source: RNAcentral
UUUCCGGUUGAUCCUGCCGCCGGCCACCGCUAUCAAGUUCCGACUAAGCCAUGCGAGUCAAGGUAUCGUAAGAUGCCGGCACACUGCUCAGUAACACGUGGACAAUCUAACCUUGAGUAAGGGAUAACCUCGGGAAACUGAGGAUAAUACCUUAUAAUUGCUUAAAACUGGAAUGUUUAAGCAAUAAAAGUUCCGACGCUCAAGGAUGAGUCUGCGACCUAUCAGGUAGUAGGUGGUGUAAUGGACCACCUAGCCUCAGACGGGUACGGGCCCUGGGAGGGGUAGCCCGGAGAUGGACUCUGAGACAUCAGUCCAGGCCCUACGGGGCGCAGCAGGCGCGAACACUGUGCAAUGCGCGAAAGCGCGACACGGGGAGCUUGAGUGUCUUGGCAUAGCCAAGACUUUUCUCAUUCCUAAAAAGCAUGAGGAAUAAGUGCUGGGUAAGACGGGUGCCAGCCGCCGCGGUAACACCCGCAGCACAAGUGGUGGUCACUUUUAUUGAGCCUAAAGCGUUCGUAGCCGGUUUUGUAAAUCUUUAGAUAAAGCCUGAAGCUUAACUCCAGAAAGUCUAAAGAGACUGCGAGACUUGAGAUCGGGUGAGGUUAAACGUACUUUCGGGGUAGGGGUAAAAUCCUGUAAUCCUGGAAGGACGGCCAGUGGCGAAAGCGUUUAACUAGAACGAAUCUGACGGUAAGGAACGAAGGCUAGGGUAGCAAACCGGAUUAGAUACCCGGGUAGUCCUAGCUGUAAACAUUGCCCAUUUGAUGUUGCUUUUCCGUUGAGGGAAGGCAGUGUCGGAGCGAAGGUGUUAAAUGGGCCGCUUGGGGAGUAUGGUCGCAAGACUGAAACUUAAAGGAAUUGGCGGGGGAGCACCGCAACGGGAGGAAUGUGCGGUUUAAUUGGAUUCACCGCCGGG